Molecule: ribosomal RNA, 374 nt
Filed under: uncultured organism
Description: bacterial SSU rRNA
Rfam family: Bacterial small subunit ribosomal RNA
Source: RNAcentral
CGGAGGGUGCAAGCGUUGUUUGGAAUCAUUGGGCGUAAAGCGCGUGUAGGCGGCUUGGCAAGUCGGUUGUGAAAGCCCGGGGCCCAACCCCGGAAUUGCAUCUGAAACUGCCUCGCUAGAGUCCCGGAGAGGAAGGGCAGAAUUCCCGGUGUAGGGGUGAAAUCCGUAGAUAUCGGGAGGAAUACCAGCGGCGAAGGCGGCCUUCUGGACGGUGACUGACGCUGAGACGCGAAAGCGUGGGGAGCAAAACAGGAUUAGAUACCCUGGUAGUCCACGCCGUAAACGUUGAGUGCUAGGUGUCGCGGGUAUUGACCCCUGCGGUGCCGUCGUUAACGCAUUUAGCACUCCGCCUGGGGAGUACGGUCGCAAGGCUA